UCAAGGGAGUUUGUGUUAAAUGCAUUUUUAGAAUUCCGUAUUUUGUAGUUGGGGCACAUGUAUAUGUCAUAUGUUGUGACAUUUUGAUUUAUCUAUAAGUUGCAGAGAGAAUGUUGUGGCUGGUGAUUUUACUGCUGAUAUGGGUCGCAGAUUUCUUCAUCUCCUUCUGUGAGAAACUGGAUGAAUCUUCCCCUACGAAGUGUUUGGCUAAGACACCAAAGAAAAAUACAAAAUCACUAUGAUCCCACAAUUAUUGGAUAGAGGACUUUCAUAGGACAUGGAAAAUGGCGUUGUAAGCAUUAACUGGAACAGAAAAAAAAAUAGAGAGA
Molecule: long non-coding RNA, 329 nt
Organism: Camelina sativa (false flax)
Lineage: Eukaryota; Viridiplantae; Streptophyta; Magnoliopsida; Brassicales; Brassicaceae
Source: RefSeq, a predicted model, not a curated record